Branchiostoma belcheri (Belcher's lancelet) is the source of this 542-nucleotide long non-coding RNA. RefSeq lists it as uncharacterized. NCBI's taxonomy places the organism in Eukaryota, Metazoa, Chordata, Leptocardii, Amphioxiformes, Branchiostomatidae. The record is from RefSeq and is a predicted model, not a curated record. The transcript has 3 exons.
GCAGUACUCGUGGAAACUGGUCCAUCCAACCGACAACUUCUCCAACAAAGACUGCCCCAAGGAGGCCGAGGAGUAUGAGAGGGCGACUCGGUAUAACUACGACACGGAUGAGAAGUUUGCGUUUGUGGAGGUCAUCGCGAUGAUCAAAGGUCUGCAGCUGCUGAUGUCGCGCAUGGAGUCCGUGUUUAACGAGGCCAUCCGCAGAAACAUCUACGCAGACCUGCAGGACUUUGUGCAGAUCGUGCUGCGCGAGCCGCUCAGACAGACCGUCAAGAAGAAGAAAACUCUCAUCAAGAGUAUUCUGACAUCCAUCCGUGACACGUGUGUUUUUCCCCAGUAUUCUGACAUCCAUCCGUGACACGUGUGUUUUUCCCCAGUAUUCUGACGUCCAUCCGUGACACGUGUGUUUUUCCCCAGUAUUCUGACGUCCAUCCGUGACACGUGUGUUUUCCCCCAGUAUUCUGACAUCCAUCCGUGACACGUGUGUUUUUCCCCAGUAUUCUGACAUCCAUCCGUGACACGUGUGUUUUUCCCCAGUAUUC